AUGACCUGUUCCUGAGAGAAGACAAACAAUCCCAGUCUGCCUCCAGCCAGAGUGUUGUCGUAAACUGCCCCCGAGUCGGCCAGGAUCUCCCUGCCCUCAUACACAACCACCCUGUAACAGGAGCACAACACAGAACCAUUAGUGAGAGGAAGAACUAAGAUGAAGCAGAUGUUGCAGGUUGGGGUGAAGCGAGUACACCAGAGGAAGUGGAUUACACUGUUAUCAUAAAAAUAACUCCGGGAGAUGGAUGAUAUUUCCAAGGGAACCUGCAGCGGGUUGUGAAGAAGAGGACAGUUAUCGCACUGAUCUCCAAC
This is a long non-coding RNA of Fundulus heteroclitus (mummichog), 314 nucleotides long. RefSeq lists it as uncharacterized. The record is from RefSeq and is a predicted model, not a curated record. The transcript is spliced from 3 exons. NCBI's taxonomy places the organism in Eukaryota, Metazoa, Chordata, Actinopteri, Cyprinodontiformes, Fundulidae.